This 745-nucleotide ribosomal RNA is filed under the name uncultured Bacilli bacterium. RNAcentral describes it as "bacterial SSU rRNA". It matches the Rfam family "Bacterial small subunit ribosomal RNA", at positions 28 to 756 of the family's 1533-position model. Lineage: Bacteria; Bacillati; Bacillota; Bacilli. The record is from RNAcentral.
GAUGAACGCUGGCAGCGUGCCUAAUACAUGCAAGUAGAACGCUGAAGCUUGGUGCUUGCACCGAGCGGAUGAGUUGCGAACGGGUGAGUAACGCGUAGGUAACCUGCCUCUUAGCGGGGGAUAACUAUUGGAAACGAUAGCUAAUACCGCAUAAAAGUCGAUAUCGCAUGAUAUUGAUUUGAAAGGUGCAAUUGCAUCACUAAGAGAUGGACCUGCGUUGUAUUAGCUAGUUGGUGAGGUAACGGCUCACCAAGGCGACGAUACAUAGCCGACCUGAGAGGGUGAUCGGCCACACUGGGACUGAGACACGGCCCAGACUCCUACGGGAGACAGCAGUAGGGAAUCUUCGGCAAUGGGGGCAACCCUGACCGAGCAACGCCGCGUGAGUGAAGAAGGUUUUCGGAUCGUAAAGCUCUGUUGUAAGAGAAGAACGAGUGUGAGAGUGGAAAGUUCACGCUGUGACGGUAUCUUACCAGAAAGGGACGGCUAACUACGUGCCAGCAGCCGCGGUAAUACGUAGGUCCCGAGCGUUAUCCGGAUUUAUUGGGCGUAAAGCGAGCGCAGGCGGUUAGAUAAGUCUGAAGUUAAAGGCUGUGGCUUAACCAUAGUACGCUUUGGAAACUGUUUAACUUGAGUGCAGAAGGGGAGAGUGGAAUUCCAUGUGUAGCGGUGAAAUGCGUAGAUAUAUGGAGGAACACCGGUGGCGAAAGCGGCUCUCUGGUCUGUAACUGACGCUGAGGCUCGA